GACGAACGCUGGCGGCGUGCUUAACACAUGCAAGUCGAACGGAAAGGCCCUGCUUUUGUGGGGUGCUCGAGUGGCGAAAGGGUGAGUAACACGUGAGUAACCUGCCCUUGACUUUGGGAUAACUUCAGGAAACGGGGGCUAAUACCGGAUAGGAGCUCCUGCUGCAUGGUGGGGGUUGGAAAGUUUCGGCGGUUGGGGAUGGACUCGCGGCUUAUCAGCUUGUUGGUGGGGUAGUGGCUUACCAAGGCUUUGACGGGUAGCCGGCCUGAGAGGGUGACCGGCCACAUUGGGACUGAGAUACGGCCCAGACUCCUACGGGAGGCAGCAGUGGGGAAUAUUGCACAAUGGGCGGAAGCCUGAUGCAGCAACGCCGCGUGCGGGAUGACGGCCUUCGGGUUGUAAACCGCUUUCGCCUGUGACGAAGCGUGAGUGACGGUAAUGGGUAAAGAAGCACCGGCUAACUACGUG
RNAcentral lists this ribosomal RNA (468 nucleotides) under uncultured bacterium. RNAcentral describes it as "partial 16S ribosomal RNA". It matches the Rfam family "Bacterial small subunit ribosomal RNA", at positions 28 to 507 of the family's 1533-position model. The record is from RNAcentral.